CAGUAGCCGCGGUAAUACGUAGGGUGCGAGCGUUAAUCGGAAUUACUGGGCGUAAAGCGUGCGCAGGCGGUUUUGUAAGACAGGUGUGAAAUCCCCGGGCUUAACCUGGGAACUGCGCUUGUGACUGCACAGCUAGAGUAUGGCAGAGGGGGGUGGAAUUCCACGUGUAGCAGUGAAAUGCGUAGAGAUGUGGAGGAACACCGAUGGCGAAGGCAGCCCCCUGGGCCAAUACUGACGCUCAUGCACGAAAGCGUGGGGAGCAAACAGGAUUAGAUACCCCUGUAGUCCCUGUCUCUUAUAC
RNAcentral lists this ribosomal RNA (301 nucleotides) under uncultured bacterium. RNAcentral describes it as "partial 16S ribosomal RNA". It matches the Rfam family "Bacterial small subunit ribosomal RNA", at positions 509 to 807 of the family's 1533-position model. The record is from RNAcentral.